AUACGGAGGGUGCAAGCGUUACUCGGAAUCACUGGGCGUAAAGGGCGCGCAGGCGGUUUUACAAGUCAGAUGUGAAAGCCCACGGCUCAACCGUGGAAGUGCAUUUGAAACUGUAAGACUUGAGUAUCAGAGGGGAAGGUGGAAUUCCCGGUGUAGAGGUGAAAUUCGUAGAUAUCGGGAGGAAUACCGGUGGCGAAGGCGACUUUCUGGCUGAAUACUGACGCUGAGGCGCGAAAGCGUGGGGAGCAAACAGGAUUAGAAACCCUAGUAGUCC
RNAcentral lists this ribosomal RNA (274 nucleotides) under uncultured bacterium. Its description in RNAcentral is "partial 16S ribosomal RNA". It matches the Rfam family "Bacterial small subunit ribosomal RNA", at positions 523 to 796 of the family's 1533-position model. The record is from RNAcentral.